GGUGGCUCAGUCGUAGAGCACUUGCCUUGCAUGCAUGAGACCCUGGGUUCAAUUCCUCAGCACCA
This 65-nucleotide transfer RNA is filed under the name Dipodomys ordii (Ord's kangaroo rat). It matches the Rfam family "tRNA". Rfam says of the family: Transfer RNA (tRNA) molecules are approximately 80 nucleotides in length. Their secondary structure includes four short double-helical elements and three loops (D, anti-codon, and T loops). Further hydrogen bonds mediate the characteristic L-shaped molecular structure. tRNAs have two regions of fundamental functional importance: the anti-codon, which is responsible for specific mRNA codon recognition, and the 3' end, to which the tRNAs corresponding amino acid is attached (by aminoacyl-tRNA synthetases). tRNAs cope with the degeneracy of the genetic code in two manners: having more than one tRNA (with a specific anti-codon) for a particular amino acid; and 'wobble' base-pairing, i.e. permitting non-standard base-pairing at the 3rd anti-codon position. The record is from Rfam by way of RNAcentral. Lineage: Eukaryota; Metazoa; Chordata; Mammalia; Rodentia; Heteromyidae.